Molecule: ribosomal RNA, 432 nt
Filed under: uncultured bacterium
Lineage: Bacteria
Description: partial 16S ribosomal RNA
Rfam family: Bacterial small subunit ribosomal RNA
Source: RNAcentral
ACGCACGCUGGCGGCAUGCCUCACACAUGCAAGUCGAACGCGACCUUCGGGUCUAGUGGCGCACGGGUGCGUAACGCGUGGGAACCUGCCCUUAGGUUCGGAAUAACUCCCCGAAAGGGGUGCUAAUACCGGAUAAUGUCUUCGGACCAAAGAUUUAUCGCCUUUGGAUGGGCCCGCGUUGGAUUAGCUAGUUGGUAGGGUAAAAGCCUACCAAGGCGACGAUCCAUAGCUGGUCUGAGAGGAUGAUCAGCCACACUGGGACUGAGACACGGCCCAGACUCCUACGGGAGGCAGCAGUGGGGAAUAUUGGACAAUGGGCGAAAGCCUGAUCCAGCAAUGCCGCGUGAGUGAUGAAGGCCUUAGGGUUGUAAAGCUCUUUUACCCGGGAUGAUAAUGACAGUACCGGGAGAAUAAGCUCCGGCUAACUCCGUG